This is a non-coding RNA of Pelobates cultripes (western spadefoot toad), 269 nucleotides long. The record is from the annotation of a GenBank genome assembly. Lineage: Eukaryota; Metazoa; Chordata; Amphibia; Anura; Pelobatidae.
CUUCAGAGUAUUUAUUGAUCAAAGAGUUCAUUAGGGUCUUGGACAGCUAUGAUGCUCCAUGGGCCCACUGGACCACUGCUGAGUACAUGCUCUUGGGUAAACAGAACUUGAGAUUGUUGGAGUACAGCCAGUCUUUAAGGGUUGCCUCUUUCUGUUUCCAACCUUGUAUUCCUUCAGGGUCAGCAGCUGCUUGUUGUUCCUUCAGGAGAUCUGUGGGUAGGACCUACAUGGUGAAUAUGGGAGUUUCUUCAGCAGACCAUCUUCUGUCC